UACGUAGGGGGCAAGCGUUGUCCGGAAUCAUUGGGCGUAAAGCGCGUGUAGGCGGCUCGGUAAGUCUGCUGUGAAAGUCCAGGGCUCAACCCUGGGAUGCCGGUGGAUACUGUCGAGCUCGAGUCCGGAAGAGGCGAGUGGAAUUCCUGGUGGUAGCGGUGAAAUGCGCAGAUAUCAGGAGGAACACCAAUGGCGAAGGCAGCUCGCUGGGACGUGACUGACGCUGAGACGCGAAAGCGUGGGGAGCAAACAGG
Molecule: ribosomal RNA, 254 nt
Filed under: uncultured bacterium
Lineage: Bacteria
Description: partial 16S ribosomal RNA
Rfam family: Bacterial small subunit ribosomal RNA
Source: RNAcentral